AUUUUUAUGGGACUGAUUAGUCCUUGUAAAAAAAGUCAAUAUAUUUCUUUUGGCAUAUGAGUUAAUCAGUCCCAUUUUUUUUUGUUAAGAAUCUCGUUGUCCUCUCGAAAUACUUAUAAGGAGUUGGGGGUUGGGUAUUCAUUCUCUUUUUUUUUAAACUAGAACAGCGUAGUAUUAAAAGUUUUUUUCUAAAAAAAAUAAACCGGUCCGAAUUUCAAAAACUGACCAAUUCACCAAUUUUCAUGAAAUCUACACGGGUCAAAUCGAUUAUCACCGAUUUUGAUGCAAGACCAGUCCUAAUCCUAUAUCCUAUCCUAUAAUCCUAUAACUAUCCUUUAAAAGAAGGUUUAUUCGGGAGUGGAAAUCCAACGUGGCAUGUUCUAGAUUCAUUCAAAACAAUUCCUUCCUUUUAUAUCAAACUCAUCUCUCCCAUUCUGCGUCAUUGUUGUCACUUGCCACAAAUGCAAUAAUUGAGCAUGAAAUUUUAAAUUUUGAAUUUUAAUUUCAAAAUCAAAAUUGAAAAAGAGAUUCAUUCUCGUCAUUUACGUUCUCCUUCCAUUCUCAUUUUCUAUUUUUCUUUCUUCUUCUUCAUCAUCAUCAUUAGUUCCUCCUCCUCCUCUUCAGUUCGUUUCUCCGUUCUCUAAUACUAUUUUUCGAUCUCUUUUUCUUCUUUAGCUUUUUUGUUCCUAAUCUAACUUGAAGGUGGAGAUUAUAGAGUUUCAAAAUAGUUGAUGUCACUGUACCUAAUGGCUCCAACCUUCAGGGGAGUCGUGGUGGUGGAAGAGACAGCAGCGGUGGUAGUAGGGGUUAUGAAGGUGGAUGCGGUGGCGACGGCGGCUAUAGUAGUGGAGGAGUCUAAGGCGGCAUGGGUCCACUGUCGUGCAUGCUACAGCCGUGGUGGAAUGGGUCAAGGAUUGCAACCAGGGAGGAGGCGGAUGCGGAAGUAGGUUUCGGCGGCGUUUGUGCCAGCAGAAGCUGCUAAAAUUCAGGUGGCAGCACCAGAUCACUCUCAAGAGACGCGCUCCCACCUAGGGGUGAAUCUGAUCAGAAUAAAUUGAAAGGAGUUAAGUUUACCUACUGACAGCAAGUAGCAACUAUACGCCUGGUUCAUCCUACACCACCCGCUCUGUCUUUUUACUUUGUGCUUUGGCAUCGUUAGCAUGAAAUUGAAGCUGUGGUGAAAGUGGAUAGUACCACACUACAGAAUUUUUGUUUAUUUGUGGAGGUUUUUUUUCCUAUUUGUGGAGGUUUCAAACCCCCACAAAAAGAAUUGUGACAAUUUCAAAAACCUCCAAAAUUUGAGGUGCCACGAGCUCCUUUGUGGCGGUUUUUCACAACCCCCACAAUGUCAUUUAGUGGCGGUUUUCUAUCCCUUUUGUGGGGGUUCUGUGCUGGUAUUUUGUGGCAGUUCUUGGUUAAUGUUUGUGGCGGUUCAAAACCCCCACAAAAAAAUUUUAUAUUAAAAAAAAAAACAGCUAUUCUAUGGGGUUUCAAACCUCCACAAACCUGUCAAUAUUAUUUUUAAAAUAUUAAUCUGGAUGUUAGAAUUACAUUAUUAUACUACUCAUCAUUUACUAUUUAAAAGAAAUACUUAAACAAGACAUUAAAAAUGUAGAAGAAAACAUGCACAAAACUAUAUGCUAUUGCUACCACAUAUCCAAAUGCAACAUCAUAUUGCUUUUUCAAGUCCAAAGCCUAGGCCAAAGAGUCCUUGCCAUCUUCAUUCAGUUUUAUGGAGAGGAUGUGAGUACUUACUUAAGGGAGAAAGAUCAUCUCUAUAAACUCUCUGUUCCAUUUUCUAUCUGUGGUCAGUAGGUUGUUUACUUUAUUAAUUGUUGGAAACAUGUUGUUGCUGGAUUGAUUGCUGAGAAUGAUAUGAUAUGGGUAUGUGGGGGGGUAAGGGGGAACUAGAAUUCUUAUCAAACAUUAACAUCAUCUCCUGACCUUAUACUCGACCUCAAAUAUUUUUCCACCACGUUCCUACCCUCUAAAAGGCUUUGCCAGUCCUAGGAAGGUUUAAUCCCUUUUUUCUACAGUCAAUGGAGACUUAUAUCUAAAGUAAUGACCUUUUAGAAUUUUGCUAAGCAGAGCAUCAGUAUUAAUAGCCAAUGUCCAAAAAUUAUUUUUUAAGCAGAGCCAGAUUUUGUGCACGCAAGUCCUUAAAACUCAGUUCUCCCUUUCUCUUAAGUCUUGUCAUUCUGUCCCAACUAAUCCAUGUGACAUUAUCCUCUCUAUGGCUCUUUGACCCACUAAAAUUGUGUUCAAAUUCUAUGAAUCUAAUCCAAUGGUGAAUCAUGUAGCUUAAAAUAGGAUAGAGUAUACACAGGAAUUGCUUCUUUUGUACCUGGUCUUUGAUGGCUCCAAAAACGGCUUCUUUAUAUCUUUGUACAAUUGACGGGAGACCUAGGUAUUUAUCUUAGGCCCUAUAUGUCCAAUAUUCAAAAUGUUUGCUAGUUGUUGUCUAAUUUGGAGAGGAGUGUUAUAACUGAAGAAGACUGUUGACUUACUUAGGUUGGUUUUCUAUCCACUAACCAUAUCGUAGUCAUAGAAUCAAGAUAUUAGCACAUGAUUCUUUUGAUGCUUUUAGAGAACAUUGUUUGCAAAGAGAAUGUGGCUGACUACUGGACAUCUUUUGUGAAUUUGAAUCCCUUGAGCAAUCCUGUUUUGCUCUAUUCUGUGUAGCAAAAAAGAAAAUUCUUCAACACUUAAAAAGAAAAGAUAUGGUCAUAGGGGGUCCCCUUGAUGGAUACCCCUAGUUGGCCUAAAAAUAUAAAAGGUUGAUCCUCCACAAGUACAAAGUAAGAAACAGUAGAAAUCAGUAUUUUGAUCCAUACUAUCCAUCUAACAUCAAAACCCAUCAUUUUCUUUAUAAACUACAGAAAACACCACUCCACUCUAUCAUAUGUCUUGCUCAUAUCCAGUUCUAGAGCAAUUUCAUUCUCCAAGUCUGAUCUUUUUUUACUUAAGAUAAAGCAUAAAUCUCAAACCUAAUCCAACCAAUCAAACCCUUGUCUCCCAAAUGUUGCAGCCCUAAGUUUAACUUUCCUUCUAACUUCACUCCUCAAUCAGAAUCAUCUCCUGCUUCUAUCUAUAACCGUUAAAUAAAGGAGAAAAAACAAAACUCAAUUUUGUAUUCUAAUAAUCCUAAUUCAUCCUAUCAAAUAAAUAUUUCAAAAUAACAAUGAUAAUUGAAUUUCAACAAUGUAUAUUGAACCCAAAAAAAUUGGGAAAAAUCACCAGGUUGCGAUAGAACAUAAAUUGGGAGCACAAGAAUCAGAAUUAAGAGGGAGAUUAAGGAACUCAUACCUGAUGACUAGAGCGUGAUUCAGAUUUAUAUGAAAAUUAGCACUAGCUUGUCCGAGAAAAGGAUUCAGAUCAUGAUUAACAUUGAGAUAAAAACUUGGAAGAGAUUCGAGCGAUGAAAAAGAUGGAAUGAUAGAGAUGUGAGAAGAAGAAUAA
Molecule: non-coding RNA, 3459 nt
Organism: Arachis ipaensis
Lineage: Eukaryota; Viridiplantae; Streptophyta; Magnoliopsida; Fabales; Fabaceae
Source: RefSeq, a predicted model, not a curated record